ACGGCUCAGUAACACGUGGACAACUUACCCUUGGGACCGGGAUAACCCCUGGGAAACUGGGGCUAAUACCGGAUAGAGCAUCGGUUGCUGGAAUGCACGAUGGUCUAAAGCUGAGGCGCCCAAGGAUAGGUCUGCGGCCGAUUAGGUUGUUGUUGAUGUGACGGAUCAACAAGCCUACGAUCGGUACGGGUUGUGAGAGCAAUAGCCCGGAGAUGGGUUCUGAGGAAAGAACCCAGGUCCUACGGGACGCAUCAGGCGCGAAAACUUUACAAUGUGCGAAAGCACGAUAAGGGAACUCUGAGUGCCUCCUAAGGAGGCUGUUCAGGUGUCUAAAAAGCAUCUGGAGUAAGGGCUGGGUAAGACCGGUGCCAGCCGCCGCGGUAACACCGGCAGCUCAAGUGGUAGCCACGUUUAUUGGGUCUAAAGCGUCCGUAGCCGGCUGGGUAAGUUCCUUGGGAAAUUUGACCGCUCAACGGUUAAGCUAUCGGGGAAUACUGCUUGGCUUGGGACCGGGAGAGGUCAGAGGUACUCCAAGGGUAGGGGUGAAAUCCAUUAAUCCUUGGGGGACCACCAGUAGCGAAGGCGUCUGACCAGACCGGGUUCGACGGUGAUGGACGAAGGCUAAGGUCACGAACCGGAUUAGAUACCCGGGUAGUCCAGGGUGUAAACGAUGUGGGUUUGGUGUCGGAAGUCUUACGCGGGCAUCCGGUGCCGUAUAGAAAUUGUUAAGCCCACCGC
RNAcentral lists this ribosomal RNA (738 nucleotides) under uncultured archaeon. Its description in RNAcentral is "bacterial SSU rRNA". It matches the Rfam family "Archaeal small subunit ribosomal RNA", at positions 85 to 827 of the family's 1478-position model. The record is from RNAcentral.